ACAAACUUGGUCAUUUAGAGGAAGUAAAAGUCGUAACAAGGUUUCCGUAGGUGAACCUGCGGAAGGAUCAUUAGUGAAUAAACAGGUGGACUGUUGCUGGUCUCUUUGGAGGCAUGUGCACGUUUGCCAUUGUUUCAUUCAUCCCCUGUGCACUAUUUGUAGGCUAGCCUGCUGUUCUUUUCAAGUUCUUUGAACUUGGUUUGGGAAGCCCUCCUGUUCUCUGGAGGCCUUUCUGAGGUGGUGCUGGUCUAUGUCUUUAUCUACACUGCAUGUAAUUGAAUGUUUGUUGUGAGCCCUAUGUGCUCAAUAAACCUUAUACAACUUUCAACAACGGAUCUCUUGGCUCUCGCAUCGAUGAAGAACGCAGC
This 368-nucleotide unclassified non-coding RNA is filed under the name uncultured fungus. Its description in RNAcentral is "partial contains small subunit ribosomal RNA, internal transcribed spacer 1, and 5.8S ribosomal RNA". The stretch from base 1 to 73 matches the Rfam family "Eukaryotic small subunit ribosomal RNA", at positions 1759 to 1831 of the family's 1831-position model. Lineage: Eukaryota; Fungi. The record is from RNAcentral.